This is a non-coding RNA of Danio rerio (zebrafish), 1343 nucleotides long. The record is from RefSeq and is a predicted model, not a curated record. Lineage: Eukaryota; Metazoa; Chordata; Actinopteri; Cypriniformes; Danionidae.
AUGAUUGCUUGCAGCCUGUCACGCAGUAUUCAAUUUAUGAUUCGCCAAUCAGAAGAUUCCUAGGCCACUAUAAAUACCCUAAGUUCCAUACAACAGCCAUCUUCAUUUUGAAGAAUCCCCCCUUCCACCCUUACUCCUCCUCCUUUCCUAGAUGGAUGGCACGGUGGCCCAGUGGUUAGCUCUGUUGCAACAGCUGUGAUCAGCCUGAUGUAAAAUCCUAGAUGUCAAACAUGUUUGCUAUGAUCGGGAAGGGCUCCGAUUGGUGUUCAAGAUCGCGAGGUGCAAGAUUAUAUCUUUGGUUCACAUUACCAGAUAAUCUGUGCUGCUGAGAAUUGGAACCAAUCAAAGUCCUUGACAAGAUUUCAUCUCCGAUAUUUGGGCAGGUGUUUCUUUUUCAGGUAAUGGACACACAACAGGCACAGGACUCAUUUCUGUGCAUUUCUUAAGCAUGUAGAGCUCUGUUAGUCCUGUGUUUGUCUUUUACAGACUGGAGUGCAGCAUGUGGAGACAAAUGGUAAUCACCUACCUCAGCAAUGACUGGAAACUGAUGGUCAGGAAUAUCCUUCAAAAACAGAUGGAUGGGUGCAUGUAUGGAUGUCCUUCCAAGAGGAAGGGGGUGGUGGUGGGCAUACUGUAGAUUUUCAGAUAGAUGUCAUCUCUGUGGCUGCACUGCUGCACUGCAGAAGCUCAGCCAGCAGAUUAGACUGGGGCAUGUGAAGAAAUAGGAAUCACACCUCAGCGAUGACUGCAAACUGAAGACUGGAGUGCAGCAUGUGGAGACAAGUGGGAAUCACCUACCUCAGCAAUGACUGGACACUGAUGGUCAAGAAUAUUCUUCAAAAACGGAUGGAUGGGUGCAUGGAUGGAUGUCCUUCCUAGAGGAAGGGGGUGGUGGUGGGCAUACUGUAGAUUGUCAGAUAGCUGUCAUCUCUGUGGCUGUUUUAACAUUGUAAAUAAUGGAUACACAACAGGGAGAAGAGGGAGACUCACAAGAGCAUUGUGGAGAACAGCUUACGCACUGCAGGAGCUCAGCCAGCAGAUUAGACUGGGGCAUGUGGAGAAAUAGGAAUCACACCUCAGCGAUGACUGCAAACUGAAGGUCUGGUUAGGUAUUUCCUGAAUGGAUGGGUGGAUGAAUGAAUAAAAAAUAGAUGUCUUUCCAAGAGGAAGGGAGUGGUGGUGGGCUUAUGUAGUUAGCUAGAUGUCUUGUCUGUGGCAGGUGUUUCCUUUUCAAGUAAUGGACAAACAGCCGGCAGAAAAAGCAAACUCACGAGAGCAGCGGUGGAAAUUUAUCUGAAGAACACUGGAGAACAGCAAGCAUGUAGAGCUCUGUUAGUCCUGUG